AGUUAAUAGCUGCCAAAAAGUGACUUGCAUUGUUAUCUGUCGAUUUGAUACCAUUCUUUUAAUCUAUUCUCAACCUUUUAUAAGUGUAAUUUCUCUUGUAUUCCAUCUGGAAAAUGACAGCUGCAAAGUUGGAAUGUUGCCCUGAACAUCCAAACAUAAAAGUGGAUAAUAGUAGUUGUGCUUUCAGACAGGCUGUGGCCUGCAAAACUGUGCUUUUAUCUGAUUUAUCUCUGUCUUACUAAUAACCUUUUAGAAUUCUAAUUGAAUGGAGAAGCAGCCUACAUCCUCUUGAUUUUUAUCAUCUUAGUUGUAUCUCGUGUGAAGUUUUAGAAGCAAUGUGAUUGUAACUGAGAUAUCCAAGAUGUCUGUGGAUUGACUGAAUGAAGACAGACAUUGUUUUACUGUACUAUGAUUACCACCAGUGCUUGUGAAUCUUUUUCUUGAGGAACUAUGUCUUCACUUUUACAUUCAUUUAUUUUUUACAAAUAUUAACCAGGCAUCAGAAGGAUGUUCAGAGAACAACCAGCCCAUUGUUGGACCAGGCUUUAUUCUCACUUUCUACUGGUUAUGUAGGUGUAGCAGACUGUCUGAGGAGAGUACCACGUAGCAGGUGUAGCAGACUGUCUCAGUGGAGAGUACCACGUAGCAGGUGUAGCAGACUGUCUCAGUGGAGAGUACCACGUAGCAGGUGUAGCAGACUGUCUCAGUGGAGAGUACCACGUAGCAGGUGUAGCAGACUGUCUCAGAGGGACACUGAUUAAUUUGGAGGAGAUUUGAGGAUUGUUCUGUCUUCACCUGUUCACGCCUUACCCUCAGCCGUAUUGGUCAAUCAUCAAUUACAAUGAAGCAAGUGCUAAAAUGGAUUGGAUAUUCAGAUGUAUGCCAUUAGACUUACAAAAAAAAAGAUCAAACUUUUAGAAAAUUAUUUGCACGGACAAACUUGUUUGCGUAUAAUAGCAAUUGAGAGAUAUAAUUACAGUGUCAUUCACUUUACACAUGUACCUGCCAUUAGCUUGAGGUUAAUAGAGUAGCGUAGAGCAGUCAUUUUGUUCCACUAUAUGGACAUGUAAAGACACUUUAUAAUCUACAAAAUGCC
This is a long non-coding RNA of Oncorhynchus tshawytscha (Chinook salmon), 1096 nucleotides long. NCBI's taxonomy places the organism in Eukaryota, Metazoa, Chordata, Actinopteri, Salmoniformes, Salmonidae. The record is from Ensembl.